RNAcentral lists this ribosomal RNA (1123 nucleotides) under Bacillus subtilis. Its description in RNAcentral is "bacterial SSU rRNA". It matches the Rfam family "Bacterial small subunit ribosomal RNA", at positions 364 to 1467 of the family's 1533-position model. The record is from RNAcentral. Lineage: Bacteria; Bacillati; Bacillota; Bacilli; Caryophanales; Bacillaceae.
CUUCGCAUGGACGAAGUCUGACGGAGCACGCCGCGUGAGUGAUGAAGGUUUUCGGAUCGUAAAGCUCUGUUGUUAGGGAAGAACAAGUACCGUUCGAAUAGGGCGGUACCUUGACGGUACCUAACCAGAAAGCCACGGCUAACUACGUGCCAGCAGCCGCGGUAAUACGUAGGUGGCAAGCGUUGUCCGGAAUUAUUGGGCGUAAAGGGCUCGCAGGCGGUUUCUUAAGUCUGAUGUGAAAGCCCCCGGCUCAACCGGGGAGGGUCAUUGGAAACUGGGGAACUUGAGUGCAGAAGAGGAGAGUGGAAUUCCACGUGUAGCGGUGAAAUGCGUAGAGAUGUGGAGGAACACCAGUGGCGAAGGCGACUCUCUGGUCUGUAACUGACGCUGAGGAGCGAAAGCGUGGGGAGCGAACAGGAUUAGAUACCCUGGUAGUCCACGCCGUAAACGAUGAGUGCUAAGUGUUAGGGGGUUUCCGCCCCUUAGUGCUGCAGCUAACGCAUUAAGCACUCCGCCUGGGGAGUACGGUCGCAAGACUGAAACUCAAAGGAAUUGACGGGGGCCCGCACAAGCGGUGGAGCAUGUGGUUUAAUUCGAAGCAACGCGAAGAACCUUACCAGGUCUUGACAUCCUCUGACAAUCCUAGAGAUAGGACGUCCCCUUCGGGGGCAGAGUGACAGGUGGUGCAUGGUUGUCGUCAGCUCGUGUCGUGAGAUGUUGGGUUAAGUCCCGCAACGAGCGCAACCCUUGAUCUUAGUUGCCAGCAUUCAGUUGGGCACUCUAAGGUGACUGCCGGUGACAAACCGGAGGAAGGUGGGGAUGACGUCAAAUCAUCAUGCCCCUUAUGACCUGGGCUACACACGUGCUACAAUGGACAGAACAAAGGGCAGCGAAACCGCGAGGUUAAGCCAAUCCCCACAAAUCUGUUUCUCAGUUCGGAUCGCAGUCUGCAACUCGACUGCGUGAAGCUGGAAAUCGCUAGUAAUCGCGGAUCAGCAUGCCGCGGUUGAUAUACGUUCCGGGUCCUUGUACACACUGCCUCGUCCACACUCACGAGAGCUGCUAACAACCUCGAAAGUCGGUGGAGGUAACCUUUUAGGUAGCCAGCGCCGAACGGUUGGGA